RNAcentral lists this ribosomal RNA (373 nucleotides) under uncultured organism. RNAcentral's name for it is "partial 16S ribosomal RNA". It matches the Rfam family "Bacterial small subunit ribosomal RNA", at positions 527 to 896 of the family's 1533-position model. The record is from RNAcentral.
GUAGGUGGCAAGCGUUGUCCGGAAUUAUUGGGCGUAAAGCGCGCGCAGGCGGUUCUUUAAGUCUGAUGUGAAAGCCCACGGCUCAACCGUGGAGGGUCAUUGGAAACUGGAGAACUUGAGUACAGAAGAGGAAAGCGGAAUUCCACGUGUAGCGGUGAAAUGCGUAGAGAUGUGGAGGAACACCAGUGGCGAAGGCGGCUUUCUGGUCUGUAACUGACGCUGAGGCGCGAAAGCGUGGGGAGCAAACAGGAUUAGAUACCCUGGUAGUCCACGCCGUAAACGAUGAGUGCUAAGUGUUAGGGGGUUUUCCGCCCCCCUUAGUGCUGCAGCUAACGCAUUAAGCACUCCGCCUGGGAGCACGGCCGCAAGGCUG